AGUGAACGCUGGCGGUAGGCCUAACACAUGCAAGUCGAACGGCAGCACAGUAAGAGCUUGCUCUUACGGGUGGCGAGUGGCGGACGGGUGAUGAAUACAUCGGAAUCUACUUUUUCGUGGGGGAUAACGUAGGGAAACUUACGCUAAUACCGCAUACGACCUACGGGUGAAAGCAGGGGAUCUUCGGACCUUGCGCGAUUGAAUGAGCCGAUGUCGGAUUAGCUAGUUGGCGGGGUAAAGGCCCACCAAGGCGACGAUCCGUAGCUGGUCUGAGAGGAUGAUCAGCCACACUGGAACUGAGACACGGUCCAGACUCCUACGGGAGGCAGCAGUGGGGAAUAUUGGACAAUGGGCGCAAGCCUGAUCCAGCCAUACCGCGUGGGUGAAGAAGGCCUUCGGGUUGUAAAGCCCUUUUGUUGGGAAAGAAAAGCAGCAGGUUAAUACCCCGCUGUUCUGACGGUACCAAAAGAAUAAGCACCGGCUAACUUCGUG
This 492-nucleotide ribosomal RNA is filed under the name uncultured bacterium. RNAcentral describes it as "partial 16S ribosomal RNA". It matches the Rfam family "Bacterial small subunit ribosomal RNA", at positions 29 to 507 of the family's 1533-position model. The record is from RNAcentral.